RNAcentral lists this small RNA (27 nucleotides) under Bombyx mori (domestic silkworm). Its description in RNAcentral is "ovarian small RNA-30510". Lineage: Eukaryota; Metazoa; Arthropoda; Insecta; Lepidoptera; Bombycidae. The record is from RNAcentral.
UGAAAGUGGGUUUGCAUGGUUAUUAGG